Molecule: ribosomal RNA, 756 nt
Filed under: uncultured bacterium
Lineage: Bacteria
Description: bacterial SSU rRNA
Rfam family: Bacterial small subunit ribosomal RNA
Source: RNAcentral
AGAGUUUGAUCCUGGCUCAGAAUCAACGCUGGCGGCGUGCCUAACACAUGCAAGUCGAACGAGAAAGUGGAGCAAUCCAUGAGUAAAGUGGCGCACGGGUGAGUAACACGUGACUAACCUACCCUUGAGUGGGGAAUAACCUGGAGAAAUCUAGGCUAAUACCGCAUAACACCUACGGGUCAAAGGAGCAAUUCGCUUAAGGAGGGGGUCGCGGCAGAUUAGCUAGUUGGCGGGGUAAUGGCCCACCAAGGCGGUGAUCUGUAUCCGGCCUGAGAGGGCGCACGGACACACUGGAACUGAAACACGGUCCAGACUCCUACGGGAGGCAGCAGUGGGGAAUUUUGCGCAAUGGGGGAAACCCUGACGCAGCAACGCCGCGUGGAGGAUGAAGUCCCUUGGGACGUAAACUCCUUUCGAUCGGGACGAUUAUGACGGUACCGAGAGAAGAAGCCCCGGCUAACUUCGUGCCAGCAGCCGCGGUAAUACGAGGGGGGCGAGCGUUGUUCGGAAUUAUUGGGCGUAAAGGGUGCGUAGGCGGUUCGGUAAGUCUUAUGUGAAAUCUUCGGGCUCAACUCGAAGUCUGCAUGAGAAACUGCCGGGCUUGAGUGUGGGAGAGGUGAGUGGAAUUUCCGGUGUAGCGGUGAAAUGCGUAGAUAUCGGAAGGAACACCUGUGGCGAAAGCGGCUCACUGGACCACAACUGACGCUGAUGCACGAAAGCUAGGGGAGCAAACAGGAUUAGAUACCCUAGUAGUCC